CCUACGGGCGGCAGCAGUGAGGAAUAUUGGUCAAUGGGCGGAAGCCUGAACCAGCCAAGUCGCGUGAGGGAAUAAGGCCCUACGGGUCGUAAACCUCUUUUGCCGGGGAGCAAGGGCGGGGACGUGUCCCGGCCCGGAGAGUACCCGGAGAAAAAGCAUCGGCUAACUCCGUGCCAGCAGCCGCGGUAAUACGGAGGAUGCGAGCGUUAUCCGGAUUUAUUGGGUUUAAAGGGUGCGUAGGCGGGCUUUUAAGUCAGCGGUAAAAAUUCUAGGCGCAACCCCGUCCGGCCGUUGAAACUGGGGGCCUUGAGUGGGCGAGAAGAAGGCGGAAUGCGUGGUGUAGCGGUGAAAUGCAUAGAUAUCACGCAGAACCCCGAUUGCGAAGGCGACUAUCUGGCACAUAACUGACGCUGAGGAGCGAAAGCGUGGGUAGCAAACAGGAUUAGAUACCCGGGUAGUC
RNAcentral lists this ribosomal RNA (460 nucleotides) under uncultured bacterium. RNAcentral describes it as "partial 16S ribosomal RNA". It matches the Rfam family "Bacterial small subunit ribosomal RNA", at positions 338 to 795 of the family's 1533-position model. The record is from RNAcentral.